This is a non-coding RNA of Rattus norvegicus (Norway rat), 826 nucleotides long. The record is from RefSeq and is a predicted model, not a curated record. NCBI's taxonomy places the organism in Eukaryota, Metazoa, Chordata, Mammalia, Rodentia, Muridae.
AGUUGGAAAUGGGGAAAAAGCAGAGGCAGUUGGCUGAUAAGGGGUGGAGGAAGGGGAGCUGUUUACAGGACAAGAGAGGAAAGAUGCUGGAAACAAACUCGAGAAUUAACUGGAAAAGGGCUCGUCCCAGUCUUCAGACACUUUAGACUGUUGUGUUCUCUUAUCUAAGGGUUUCCUGUGUGUCAGGCACUAGAAAGGUACCAACUGCCAAAGGGUGAAACAGGAAAAGUUGGUGCAGCUGGGUGGAAGAAAGCUUGGGAGACCCAGGGCUAAUCAGCGUCCCUGUGACUCUCACAGACGUGCACAGCAUCUCAGCUUGCAUAGAGAUCUGCUAAGCUGCAGGGCACAGUCCUUACUGCAUCGCCAGCACCUUGUACAUGGCGGAAGUUCAGUGUUCACUGAAGGAGUGUGCACGCUUCCUGUUGCUGCGACAUACUUCAGGAAGUAAGGGUUUACUGUGGCUCACGGUUCGAGGGUAGGGGCUAUCGAGUGGUGGGAGGAGCAUGAGGCAGCUCCUCCCACGUCGCUUCUGCAGUUAGGAAGCAAAGAGGAGUGAUUUCCUGUCUCUCAGACCGUUUUCUCCUUUUUAUUCAAUCUGGGACCCGAGCCAAUUAAACAAGUACCACUCACUAAGGCUGGGUUCUCCUUCUUCAAGUUAAACCUUUCUGGAAAUAGCCUCAUAGACAUGCCCAGAGGCUGUGAGACUCUGGAGGGAUCCCAUCGGCAAGCAAGACGAUGCCCCAAACACAGAUGCCCCAAGGACCUCCAACACUCUACAAUCAUGAAUUAAAGAAACGUUAAUUCUCCAAAACUCAUCUAACCUCUA